UGAGGAAUAUUGGUCAAUGGGGCGAGAGCCUGAACCAGCCAAGUAGCGUGCAGGACGACGGCCCUAUGGGUUGUAAACUGCUUUUAUAAGGGAAUAAAGUGGGUCACGUGUGACUUUUUGCAUGUACCUUAUGAAUAAGGACCGGCUAAUUCCGUGCCAGCAGCCGCGGUAAUACGGAAGGUCCGGGCGUUAUCCGGAUUUAUUGGGUUUAAAGGGUGCGUAGGCUGUAAGUCAAGUCAGCGGUGAAAAGUCGGGGCUAAACCUUGAGGGUGCCGUUGAAACUGACAUACUAGAAUGUGGAUGAUGCCGGCGGAAUGUGUCAAGUAGCGGUGAAAUGCAUAGAUAUGACACAGAAGGCCGAUUGCGAAGGCAGCUGGCAAAGGCACGAUUGACGCUGAGGCACGAAAGUGCGGGGAUCGAACAGGAUUAGAUACCCUGGUAGU
Molecule: ribosomal RNA, 443 nt
Filed under: uncultured Prevotella sp.
Lineage: Bacteria; Pseudomonadati; Bacteroidota; Bacteroidia; Bacteroidales; Prevotellaceae
Description: bacterial SSU rRNA
Rfam family: Bacterial small subunit ribosomal RNA
Source: RNAcentral